UGGGGAAUAUUGGACAAUGGGCGCAAGCCUGAUCCAGCCAUGCCGCGUGAGUGAUGAAGGCCCUAGGGUUGUAAAGCUCUUUCAGCGGGGAAGAUAAUGACGGUACCCGCAGAAGAAGCCCCGGCUAACUUCGUGCCAGCAGCCGCGGUAAUACGAAGGGGGCUAGCGUUGCUCGGAAUCACUGGGCGUAAAGCGCACGUAGGCGGCUUUCUAAGUCGGGGGUGAAAUCCUGGAGCUCAACUCCAGAACUGCCUUCGAUACUGGGAAGCUCGGG
RNAcentral lists this ribosomal RNA (274 nucleotides) under uncultured bacterium. RNAcentral describes it as "partial 16S ribosomal RNA". It matches the Rfam family "Bacterial small subunit ribosomal RNA", at positions 355 to 646 of the family's 1533-position model. The record is from RNAcentral.